AGAAACAGAGGUAGUGUGUGUAUGUGUGUGUGUGUGUGUAUGCAGGGAAACAGCUGUUCAUUCAGGGUGGGACUUGCAUGGUGUGUGUGUGGGCGAGUGCAUGCAUGUGCCUGCUUCUAUUGUGUGUGUGAUGUAUUAUUGACGCUCAGGUCCUUCAUCAGUAAGCAGAUACGAGCGUACGAACGCCGACGCAGCCAGCGGCGCUCAGGACUCUGAUGAUCCCUGCACGAGCGCACGAGGAAAACAAAACGCUCGAAAUAAACACACACACAGAGAAAACAGAACACACACACACACACACACACACAUGAAAAUAAAAUAAAAAGGCAUGAGGAGGAAGAGAAGAAAAGGAAAGACGCAGGGAGAAUCUCAUCACCGGGAACAGACACCAACAUCAAAACCGACCAAUCAGAGAUCUUUAAAAACAUUCAUUCAGUUUAAAAAAGGAGGAUUACACUCGAAGCGUUUCAUCGCAAGUCGUCCGUGCAUCGUGUGAUUUCCCAGCAUGCCCUGCGCUCAACUCAAUUAAACCUGCACUUUCACUCGGAUACGGUUUCCCACUGCUUCCCUUCUCUGCCCUUUCCAUCCACCCAUCCUCAAACUUCUCACUAGUGCAGAGCACUCGAUUUAUUCUCUCUCUCUCUCUCUCUCUCACACACACACACACACACACACACACACACACACACACACCAUGAGAAACCCAAACACAAAUCAGUGUUCCAUGUUGUCUUCAUUCCUGUGUGCAGAGGAGGAGCAGAGCACCUGCUGCUGAGGACAAACACACACUCGGAGAAACACACACUCGCUCGCACACACACUCGCGGUUCUACCACCAAUACGGGUGAGGAGGAGAGAACUGCCAGGAUUCCAGUGUUUACUACAACCUCUCUCUCUGUCUGUCUGUCUUUCUGCACCUCUUUCUCAAAGUCUGUCCGUCUCUCUCUCGGUCUCUAUAAAAUUAAUUCUUUGGACCAAUCAGAAUCCAGGAUUCAGUCUGAGGUUUUCUAUGUGAAAAGACACAAGGAAGGAAACAGUCUCUGCAUUUCAUGGUCAUGAUUUUUAUCAGGAAUAAUGUGUUAUGGUAAAUCAGAAUAAACCAACACAGAGGUCUGUGUAGCUCGUCCUCGCAGGCCGAGAGAAAGAUGGGCGUUUAAACCCGGGGUGAGGACGGCGGCUAAGAUGGAGUUGCUUCGGUUUAAUUAGAAACGAUGAUCUGCUCCGUGUCGCACUUCAGAUGUUGACAGAACACCGAGUGUGAAGACCGGCCUUGGAAGAACUUGUAAAGAACAGAAAAACAGUUCACGAUGCUAAACAGAGUCCUCCCUCCCCACACACCACACACCUCACGCCAGGUGAUACGGACCACGUUCACACGGACGGCAGUGAUCUAAUCAUCGACCUUAUUCUGAAUAAGACAAUAUGGUGAUGAAGGUGUUUACACGAGUGGCUUUAGAAUACUCCUGUCAUGUUCCCGUGUUACGUGUUCUAGAACACAGUUAGAUUAACAGCCCGUCAUCACGUCCCCGCGCCACGCCGUCCGACGUCCCUCCAGAAUUUCACGUAUCGACGUACAGUCGGUCUCCGUUAUGGGACCGUGUACAGUUUCGGUGUUCCAUGUUUAAUUUUAGGAAAGCUUCCAGUGCGGUUAAUUAUCUGUCGUGCCGUACGUGUAAACAGACGACUGCUUGAAGCCGUGGGCUGCGUCCCGAACCGCGUACUCUACAGUAUAGUCUACAUAGUAGCGGAGAUGCAUGUUUUUCUCCUACGAUAUCUCAGGUAAGGCCGGUCUCAGGCUCUCUGUUAAACACACUGUUCAGACAUCAUAAACAUCUUCAAGCUCAAACUCCUGAGGAUCUGAGCGCUCGCAGCACACCAACGACCAUCAACAGAGAGAAGUAAAAUGUUCCGUGACGUCUGAUUGGUUGAUAUUCAGUAGUAUGUGUAUUACACGUAAACACACGCACUCCCCCCCAGUUUGAUAUUAAAAGAAAUGAAGGAAUAUUUCUCUUUUAUCAAUAACGAUAAACGUCUGGAACUUUCUGGAGUGUAAAUAUUAAUGGGAGCUGGGACUGUGAUCGCGACCUGCGUGGAGGUUCUGUAAGAAGCCUGAUGAAGGAGGAACAGGAACUGCGAACUCAUGUUACUGCGCUCGGCCGAGGAGGGCCAGCGUCGGGUUUCCAUUUCCCUUUUAAAUAUUGUAGGAGCGUAAUCAAGAGCGGAGAACUGAAACCCAGCUGAGAGCCCGAGCAGAAAGACGAGCGGUCACCUGAUCCGGGCCGAGCCGCCGGGCCGAGCCGCCGGGCCUUUUACACACGCUGCAUUGUGUAGUACAGCAGAGAAAACAGAGAAGGCCAAGCAGCUACAGGAGAUCUGCUGCUGUCAGAGCCGUGUGUGUGUGUGUGUGUGUGUGUGUGUGUGUGUGUGUGUGUGUGUGUGUGUGUGUGACCGAUGAGCCUCAGCAACACUGCAACAGUGUGUGUGUGUGUGUGUGUGUGUGUGUAUUUAUUAUAUGCGGGUGUGUAUUGGUGAACAUACCACAGUGAACAGGUCAAUACUUUGGGUUUCUAUAGGAUGACAUACCAACUAAGUAAUUAUUAUUAUUAUUAUUAUUAUUAUUAUUAUUACUACUACUACAUUUUUACUUUAGAUACACAUCCACAGGAUACAUAUAAGGAUUAAAGAAUUAAACAAUAAAAGAUUAAACAUUAAAAUGCAAAAAAAAAAAGAAUAGUCAGUGAGAAUAAAUGGAAAAGAUGUUAACACAAGCGUUAAUAAAUAAUCAUAACUAUUUAUUCAUUCACAGUUAUUUAUUUAUUCAUUCAUUUUUGUUUAACUGAUUUCACAGAUUUUAUUUAUUUAUUUAUUUAUUUUUUUAAGUCAAACAUUUUUUAUACAUUCCUUUUUUUUUUGCAAUUUAAAGCAGCAAUAUGUCUGAACCAAAACCGCUUUGGAGGCGGGGCUACGUAUGAACUCACUUUCUGAGGUCACAAUUUCACGGCUUGGUAUGCAAAUUAUUAGAGAAUGACAACAGCAGCGCAGCAGCAUUAAAUUUUAGUCCCAGAACCUUCAUGCUAAUCUAGCUAGCUGGCUACCGUCACUAAUGUUAAAGAAUGCUAUGAAUACAUCAGGGUUGUCAAGGUAACAAAUGAAACAGAUUCUGACGAUCAGAAAUAAAGGAGUGCGAAAACGAGGAUGUAAGUGGAGACCCUGCGACUAAAGCGAGCUAGUUUAGUUGUGAUUAUCCAACCGCGUGGCUGCUCCAGGAUGCUCCAAAUUUGCAUAUAUGUGCAUAAUCAUCAAACCCAGGUGUAAUGAGGGUAAAAGCGCAGACGCGUUCCUCUGCCAUUUUUAGUAAGUUUAUUCCACAAAAUCUGUUGAAAACCUGCUGCAGAUUGAAACAGGAGGACUCGCGGGCUGAACCCAGAGGUGUCAGUGAAAACCUCAUCGCACGCUCGUACAGAGGAGUGAAAGCUGCGCUUGCGAGCCAGGUGAAGCGCGCGCAGUGACGUCGCCGUGUUUUGCCUUUCAUUUGCACGACUGAAUUUUUCUGCUCCCAGGCAACUUUUUUCCCUUCAUAGUUUCCACAUGCCGAGUUUUCUGCAAGCCGAACACGCUGGUGCUAGCGUGAGAUCCGGAUCAGGGAGCAUGGCGAACAUUCUUACAUGACUGCACUGCCACUGAGGAAUUUUUAAUAUACUUUCAGCUUUCCUUUAAUCUGGGAGACUCAUCACGAGGCUGCUCACAGAAGUGAUGGGACUUAAUCAGAAAAUAAUACAAUCCCCUCAAGGUGCCAUUCAUCAGACUCAGGUAGCAGUUCACGCCCACUAAAGGGGCAGGGGGGGUUAUGGGUAACAGUAAUGAUGGACCGGGGGUUCACGGGUGAGCGUACUGACGGAGAGGGGGUUCACGGGUGAGCGUACUGACGGAGAGGGGGUUCACGGGUGAGCGUACUGACGGAGAGGGGUUCACGGGUGAGCCGUACUGACGGAGAGGGGGUUUAUUGCUCAUUCUUGCUUUCCGUUUUCUGUAGAUUUGGGGUUUUUUCACGUGACAGUGCCCCCUAGUGAACACGCUCAUGUCACGUGAAUCAGGUCCUGACCUGCUCGCAGAUGCACCCUUUCAGAAGCCUAAAUCUGACCCUGACCUCCAUACAGACACACUGACCCAGGCAGCUGGAUUACAAUGAGCUCCACCAGGCCUGGAGCAGGUAGAACAUUCCAGUGACGGAGAUCACCUUGAGGCAAAUACCCCGAUUACACAGCAACGUAAAUAGUUUGCCGAGUAAAAGGAAAAAACCGUACUGGAAGCAGAGAGGAGAGCUAAGCUAUGUACGGGAUAAAUAAAAUGAGAGAAACGUUGGUGCAGUAAUACCCUGGUCUAAUCCAGGUCACCACACUGCUCUCGUUCCUCGGAGAUGAAAAGUGAGGAGCUUAUUAAAUCCGAAGCUCCAUGGUACAGUAGAACAAUGACACUCGCGGCCAAAACGAGGACAGCGAGGAAACGAGCCAGAGACGGAGAGAAUGCCAACAAAGAGCCAUCACCAGCGAGCAGCCAAAACAUGACAGGAGGAGCGCAUCAGGAGCUCAAGAGGAGAAAAAAAAAAAAACACAUACUUGUUUGGCCUUGGCCUCACAACACAAUCGAAGAGUUUUUGUUAUGGCUCCUUUACUGAAAUCUAAAGCACAUCGAGGACAUCAACAAUCAAGAGUUCAAGGAAAAGAAUCGGAGGAAGAAAAACCUGUAAUAACGGAGCAAAAACCGCGGACAAGAAAGCAAAGAUCUGCUCAAUAAAUCGGCUCACGGAGUGCAAGCGACACACGAUCAUCAAACAGCACCAGUCACACGGCUCGGCUGACAACGUUAGCUUCCUAAACACAGCGCUGCGCUAACUCUGGUGAUGCAACAGAUACUUCAGCUAACGUUAUCCCUUCAAGCAGCAGCGCUCUAAUCUCACGAACAAGCUAGCUAACGUCAGGCCUACCAUUAGAUCAACCCCAAAUAAACCCGCAGACAGUUACACUAGCAGGGUAGCUAACGUUAGGCCAUCAGGCGAACAAUAAUGUAAUCAAAUGUUUAAGAAUGCUAAUUUAUAAAGUAACAAACCUGGUGGGGGUGGGGUGGGGGAGGCUAAUGCACUCACAUUAUUUAUCUCUAAUAAAAAUAUUUAGUCCGAGACAAAAACUCAAACUGAUCUUAAAACUGAGAGCGUGUGAAAUAAAUUUUUAAUCACAGGAGCUGAAGUGUGUGUUCAAGGCUGGGUGUAAGGGGAGAACCCAAUCAGACGAGCGCUAACGUUUCACUCGCCAACAAAGUGCCAUGUGUUUGGGCCGUGCCAGGAGCAGUGUGUGUGUGUGUGUGUGUGUGUGUGAGAGAGAGAGAGAGAGAGAAAGAGAGAGUGUGUAAAAUGGAGGGUGUGUGAGUGUUUGGUGGGGUCUCAAAAUCCAGCCUCUGUAAUUUCCAGCAAAGCAACACUGACACCACACACACACACACACACACACACACACACACACACACACACACACACACACGCCUCUCUUCAGGAUCAGACUGAAACUCUGAGGAUGGAGUUUUUCCUUCAGGAUGAAUGCUGUUCAGCGUGAGGAGGAAACACAGGGAGAGUCGUCGCAUAAACUGAAACAGAUGGAGCUCGAGCGGCUGCUUGUUCACAAGCAAACUCACAGAAUCCUGACCGAGUCAGCUUCACGCCGAGUCCGCUUCACGAGUCUACAUCACAGCGAGUCAGCUUCACGAGUCUCAUCACAGCGAGUCAGCAUCACGAGUCUCAUCACAGCGAGUCAGCUUCACGAGUCUCAUCACAGCGAGUCAGCUUCACGAGUCUCAUCACAGCGAGUCAGCAUCACGAGUCUCAUCACAGCGAGUCAGCUUCACGAGUCUCAUCACAGCGAGCCCGCUUCACGCCGAGCCCGCUUCACGCCGAGCCCGCUUCACGCCGAGCCCGCUUCACGCGACACCACUGCUGUGUUUCGGGUUUUUAAAGCCGAUGAGGAAAUGACUGAAGUGGCAGCUUCAUUGUUGGGGUUUGUGAAGAGGUUACAGAGCGUUGUGCUCCUUCCUCCUCCAUCAUGCCUUCUCAAAUCCACCUUCUCCACCGAACUCGUACGUGAUCACAGUGGAGAAGGAGGGAGUGUCUUUCAGGACAGUCGCGAUGCUCAAAAAGACAAACAGAAAUUCAUUAUUUUAUAAAAAUGAGCCACACGUUUCACUCCACAUGAAUAUUUAUGAGCGAAUAAUUAUUUCAUCACCACACAGAGUCCACAAACGUCGUCAGAGAAACCGCUCGGAUAUUUAUCCAAAUAAACAAAAACACUGUUUAAUAAAAUGUCUCACUAUCGCAAUAUAAACAUAAAUAAACAAAAACAAAUGAAAACACACGCACAUUCGAUUUUACACACCAGUCGCUGAUGGGAAAACUGCUUCUUUCGCAAAUUUUCAGAAACGUAUUUAAUAAUUAAACUGAAAUCCAGACGUCUCGCAAAAACACUGGCCCUGCGCUUCAUUCGGAAACGACUAGAGCCGAGGUUUUAUUAUUUUAUUAUGUUUAAUUUUAACGGUCUUCAAUAGAAAUGAUUAUUGUUAUAUACUCCAUUAAGAAAGAACAAAGAUGAAAUGAUGCUAAAAUCAAGCCACAGAUUAAAAGAGAAGUUGAGCAUUUUGGGAACUGAUGUUUCCUUCCCGUAGAUUUAAGUGAGCAGUGCAACAAACACCACACACACACACACACACACACACGAUUAAUGACAGGAAGUGGAACACCAGCAGAGCUCAGACCCGCCCCUCAGGCUACAGAGCCGAUUCCUCUGCAGAUUUCCGUGUAAACGAGGUUCGGGAGCCUCGGCUCCUCACCUGAACCUCUGCAGAACUUCGGUUACGUUUCAGUCUGAACCUCAACUACAUCACCGAGAAGAAAAAGCCUUCCCUGAAGAGCCAGGAAGCAGGACACAGAGGGAGAAAAUCCUCACGAAGAAAAACAAACUAAACAAAAAGGCAGACAGAAAACUUCAACUCCCUCUGUUCCUGAAUUCUACUUCCUGUCAGCGAAAAAACCCUCAAAACAUCACGGGGGGGGCAGAGAGAGAGAGAGAGAGAGAGAGAGAGAGAGAGAGAGAGAGAGAGGGAGACAGAGAGAGAGAGAGAGAGAGAGAGAGAGAGAGAGAGAGAGAGAGAAACGAGUGAAGCUCCAGUCUCACCUCGCUCUUCCCUCUCUAUUGAUUUUUGCUUGCACCAUUUUCUCUCUCUUUUUAUUCAUAUCGUCCUUCCUUUCAUCGUUAUUUUACCGUCCUUUCUGUUCUCUUCCUUCUGUUCUUUUAUAUCACUUCCUUUUCCCAUCAUUCUUUUCCUUCAUUUUUACCCUUUCCCUUCAUUUUCUCCGUUUGUUCUUGCUCUUUCCCGCGUCUCCUCAGGAACAGUGAGACGAGCGGAGGUAUCUCUGUAACUGACGACACGGCUGAUAUUUUGAUCUGAAACUUACAGGGUUUUAAAAUGAAACACCUUUUUUUUUCCCUGCAAAACCUUGCUUUCAGAAUUAUUGGCACCCCCAGAGUUGUUAAUAGGUGGAACCCCGUGUCCUCUGGGCAGAAGAACAGCACCGAGUCACUUCCUGUGAGUUCUAACGAGCCUGUAGAAGCUUUUGGAAAAUGUCUGACUGUGUUUACCGCAGCAGUAAUCCUGCUUCAUCUCUCACAGCCUUUUAUUUCCCCGUCACUCCACUUCCACGGUCUCUGUUUUAUCUUCACCCCAUGUUUUAUAGUGUUUUUAAUCAGACACAAAC
Long non-coding RNA from Ictalurus punctatus (channel catfish), 7795 nucleotides. Lineage: Eukaryota; Metazoa; Chordata; Actinopteri; Siluriformes; Ictaluridae. The record is from Ensembl.